Molecule: ribosomal RNA, 404 nt
Filed under: Actinomycetes bacterium
Lineage: Bacteria; Bacillati; Actinomycetota; Actinomycetes
Description: Actinobacteria bacterium partial 16S ribosomal RNA
Rfam family: Bacterial small subunit ribosomal RNA
Source: RNAcentral
UGGGGAAUAUUGGACAAUGGGCGCAAGCCUGAUCCAGCCAUGCCGCGUGAGUGAUGAAGGCCCUAGGGUUGUAAAGCUCUUUCACCGGUGAAGAUAAUGACGGUAACCGGAGAAGAAGCCCCGGCUAACUUCGUGCCAACAGCCGCGGUAAUACGAAGGGGGCUAGCGUUGUUCGGAUUUACUGGGCGUAAAGCGCACGUAGGCGGACUUUUAAGUCAGGGGUGAAAUCCCGGGGCUCAACCCCGGAACUGCCUUUGAUACUGGAAGUCUUGAGUAUGGUAGAGGUGAGUGGAAUUCCGAGUGUAGAGGUGAAAUUCGUAGAUAUUCGGAGGAACACCAGUGGCGAAGGCGGCUCACUGGACCAUUACUGACGCUGAGGUGCGAAAGCGUGGGGAGCAAACAGG